UAUUACAUAGUAAUAUAUUCAGUUACUUAUAUUUCAUGAUUUAGCUUAUAUCACUGUUAUCAUCGAAACCUAUCCAGAUAGUUUUAGGCAUGACCACGGUUACGGUUAUUACGGUUACGGUUUAUUAACCACCGUAUAUGAUUAUAACUUUUUUUAACCUUAACAUUAACCGUUAUAUAUACGGUUAAAACGGUUACGGUUAAAUACGGUUAUGGUUAGAUACGGUUACGGUUAUUUGAUAAUUAUGAUAUAAUUAAUAUAUGAGACAAAAUAUUAUAUU
RNAcentral lists this small RNA (280 nucleotides) under Arabidopsis thaliana (thale cress). RNAcentral's name for it is "ATSL186000". The record is from RNAcentral. Lineage: Eukaryota; Viridiplantae; Streptophyta; Magnoliopsida; Brassicales; Brassicaceae.